GGGUUAAGGAUAAUCUUUUAUAUAUUGCACUAAAUACCUAGAACAAAGAGACAAACCAAGGGUCGUGACUCAUGACCCUCUAGUGACCACACCUCUUCUUCCUGCUAUCCUAGAUCAAACCUUGAUCCAAUCUUGAGCCAUAAUAGCUCUCCAAGCUAGUGAAUACACAUAGUGCCACUUGAUGCCUUUGCUCCAGCAUCUCUGGCUAGUGACUCCAGCCUUCUAGUGCACAGCCUUUCCUCCACACUUGUGCCUCUACUCCACAGUGAGAUCCUAAAAUUGGAAGUCUCCCUCUCAUCCUUUAAUUGCUCCACUGCUCCCUCUCAAGGUGCUUUACCUCAUAUUGAAGCCUUGGAUUAUGCCACUAUGAUUCACACCAAUUGAAGCAAGAGCAAGGAUCUUGAAAAGAAACCUUUGUCUUAUGUUUGCCCUAAAAUGAGCCUACACCAAAUGACAGUACUCUUAUGUGUAGCUCUCAAUAGCUCUUUGCACCAUCUCUCCAUCAUCUCACUAUACUCACAAGGCU
RNAcentral lists this long non-coding RNA (526 nucleotides) under Selaginella moellendorffii. Its description in RNAcentral is "long non-coding RNA (SMOE_LNC000152)". The record is from RNAcentral. Lineage: Eukaryota; Viridiplantae; Streptophyta; Lycopodiopsida; Selaginellales; Selaginellaceae.